RNAcentral lists this ribosomal RNA (509 nucleotides) under uncultured Redeckera. Its description in RNAcentral is "SSU rRNA". It matches the Rfam family "Eukaryotic small subunit ribosomal RNA", at positions 569 to 1078 of the family's 1831-position model. Lineage: Eukaryota; Fungi; Glomeromycota; Glomeromycetes; Diversisporales; Diversisporaceae. The record is from RNAcentral.
AGCAGCCGCGGUAAUUCCAGCUCCAAUAGCGUAUAUUAAAGUUGUUGCAGUUAAAAAGCUCGUAGUUGAACUUCGGGAUUUGUUCAUUGGUCAGGCUUCACUGUCUGUACUGGUGUAACGAAUUCCUACCUUCUGAUGAAUCUUCAUGCCAUUCACUUGGUGCGGAGGGGAAUCAGGACUGUUACUUUGAAAAAAUUAGAGUGUUUAAAGCAGGCUAUUGCUCGAAUACAUUAGCAUGGAAUAAUAGAAUAGGACGGUUGGUUCUAUUUUGUUGUUUUCUAGGAUCACCGUAAUGAUUAAUAGGGAUAGUUGGGGGCAUUAGUAUUCAAUUGUCAGAGGUGAAAUUCUUGGAUUUAUUGAAGACUAACUACUGCGAAAGCAUUUGCCAAGGAUGUUUUCAUUAAUCAAGAACGAAAGUUAGGGGAUCGAAGACGAUCAGAUACCGUCGUAGUCUUAACCAUAAACUAUGCCGACUAGGGAUCGGACGAAGUUAAUUUUUAAAUGACUCG